This 821-nucleotide unclassified non-coding RNA is filed under the name Bombus terrestris (buff-tailed bumblebee). RNAcentral's name for it is "misc RNA ENSBTSG00005034704.1". Lineage: Eukaryota; Metazoa; Arthropoda; Insecta; Hymenoptera; Apidae. The record is from RNAcentral.
ACAUAUCGUUACGUCAAUUUCAGUGCAUACCGCUUAAUUACCUAAAUCACUUCCUUUCCACAGCAUCUAACUUAUAAGAUGCCCUGUACCAUUUUAUUUCCUGCCUUCAAUCUUCCUCCGGUGAUCUACAAUUUUCUCCCUGGUACCGAGUGAACUAGCCAGUGGAAAGAAACGUUGGAACGUCGAAAAGCAGGGGAAAAAGGAGUAGAAAAGAUCCAAGGCAAGAGCUACCGCGGCAGGGGUCUCGAUUACGAAGGGGAAGAGCACGUAGUGCACGUACUACUCGCAAUUCGAAAUAGCUAGGCCAUAAAUUAGUAGCUGGCUAUCUGAGCGCGGCGAUAGAGGGAGAAAAGGAGCAAUUAUUUCCUUUGGACGCCAUAUUUCAGUUCGAACAUCUUAAUAACCGUGGAUGUUGUGGCUUCUCCUCGAAUCAGACGAGGAUAAUCGUGAAAGAAACGAAGAGAGGCAGAGAGGAAGAAACAGAAGGGCGGGUGAUACGUAGGAAGGAAAAUCAGAAAAUAAGAAAAAUUCUUCAGAUGUUACAUUCGUCAGAACGGCAGUUCGUCCGACUACGCGUCCGCUAUAACCGUAGCCUUAGACGGUAACACGUUUUCUCGUGUAAAUCAUUCGCGGAUUAACAUGGCGCAGGGAAAAGCGAAUGUGCAAGUCGGCCCUAAAGAGGCGUUGCUCGGGCACCGGUAUAUGUACUUUGCAUAUACGCCGCUGAAUCACGUCUCGUUGCUUGGUAGCCGUUAAAAGCGCCGUAUAUCAUGUCGCUAAAGGACAUGAAUUGUGGGUGGAUCUGAUUUGGAGGGAACACC